AACGAACGCUGGCGGCAUGCCUAACACAUGCAAGUCGAACGAGACCUUCGGGUCUUGUGGCGCACGGGUGCGUAACGCGUGGGAACCUGCCCUUAGGUUCGGUAUACCUCCCCGAAAGGGGUGCUAAUACCGGAUAAUGUCUUAGGACCAAAGAUUUAUUGCGUCUGGAUGGGCCCGCGUUGGAUUAGCGAGUUGGUAGGGUAAAAGCCUGCCCAGGCGACGUUCCAUAGCUGGUUUGAGAGGAUGUCCAACCACACUGGGACUGAGACACGGCCCAGACUCCUACGGAAGGCAGCAGUGGGGAAUAUUAGACAAUGGGCGAAAGCCUAAUCCAGCAAUGCCGCGUGAGUGAUGAAGGCCUUAGGGUUGUAAAGCUCUUUUACCCGGGAUGAUAAUGACAGUACCGGGAGAAUAAGCGCCGGCUAACUCCGUG
RNAcentral lists this ribosomal RNA (433 nucleotides) under uncultured bacterium. Its description in RNAcentral is "partial 16S ribosomal RNA". It matches the Rfam family "Bacterial small subunit ribosomal RNA", at positions 29 to 507 of the family's 1533-position model. The record is from RNAcentral.